Molecule: non-coding RNA, 2496 nt
Organism: Petromyzon marinus (sea lamprey)
Lineage: Eukaryota; Metazoa; Chordata; Hyperoartia; Petromyzontiformes; Petromyzontidae
Source: RefSeq, a predicted model, not a curated record
GGUGCGGUGUGCUGGAAACAUCGCCACUGGGGCGACCAAGGUGACCAGCGCGCGUCUCUCGCUCCGUCUCCGCGGCUGGCUUCGCUCUGUCGACGGACGUGGCGCACACUCUUCCUCCUCACCGUCGCGGCACUCUCUCUCUCCCCUGGCUGACGGCACGCUGGAGAGAGGGGAGGCUCCGCUGGAAGAGCCCGCCACGUGGCUGGUGAUGAGUAGAGGUAAGCGAUGAUGUUGCUCGGACUCCAGGCUUCCCACACCGACCCAGAGUCCUCCCCUGCCUCUCCUUAUAUUCCUCUCCACGGGGAUAAGCCCCGCCUCUAGCCACGCCCCUCAAAGAACAUUCUAGAGUGUCCCGUGCUUGCCCGAUAGCUCCGCCCGUUUACCUUUCACUCAGAUGGGAUCCCCCUAUUGGUUGAAUGUUAGUCAACCUAGCGGUGUCCAUGCAGUUACCCCCAGUCGUCCUGUAGGUGGCGCACUCUCAUUACAAAUGUAUGUACACAUGUUUAUGUGUGUAUGUCACUGACCUUGGUACCAGAUUACCCCUUUGAGGGUCAUAUUCAGCAGAGGGUGAAUCAUUGCGUUCCACAGCACUGUCGGUUCGAGUUGACCACUACACUCAAAGAAAAAUACAAUGGUCCCUGGUGAAACCGACAUAGACUGUUGGGACAGGUGCUGUUAGCGAGCCCCCUUUGAAUGCUGGUAUGGCACAUGAUGAGGUUGCAUGGCCAGCACCACGCUGUUAAUCUUACAAAGAUUAGAGAGAUUGUGAAAGGCUUAUAUUGAGUUUGCAGCAGUUGAACAACUUUUCUCCUCCUAAUACAUAGUCAAGAAGAAACUAGUGUCAAUUUUUUUAUUAUGAUUUUUGGGAUUGAAUGUGGGCAAAAGAUCCAAAGUCUUGAGUCAUUCAGUUGCUUCUGAUACCUUUUUUCCACUGCAAAAAAUUUGACAUGUUGCUGACAUCACAAACAAUGAACAAGUGGCAACACUCGUAGAUGACAUGGUGAUGCAGCGUCCUCACAACGUACUGACGCCACAUGCAAUGAAUCAGCGGAGAUGCCUGUAGAUGGUGCUGGGCCCUGAGCCAGACAGAGGUGGCUGUGCAGUGGUGAGAUUUAACUCCCUCGCUUGGUAUGCAGAAUAUAAUGGUUCGAACCCGACCAUGACACCUACUGCAUAUUUGGAGUUUACGCAUUCUCUCCGUGAUCAUGUGGGUUUUCCUUCGGCUCCUCCGGUUUUAACCUCCACAUUCAGAAACAUGCUUCUAGAGUAUUUAGCUACUCUAUAAAUUUACACGUGAUAAGCCACUUCAUUUAAUCGUCAUUUGUGGACAAGUCGCUUCUGAAAAAUAGCUAUAUAGCUCAGUGGGCCUUACCUGGAGAAAUUAAAAUAUUGUAAAAUAGUUUAGUUUUUUUGAUAUGUGUGGUGAGGGAAGUAUAUUUUGGUUUGGCUCCAGCUCGACAUGGCAAAUAGCCUUUAAACAGUCAACAAUAGACUCUGUGUGGUUAUUACAUGAUGCCUCUACUUAAGUCAAAGGGUCUCCUUGUGGGUCUAUGGGAAUUUCCCCAUCACACAUACCUGCUCUGAGGCUGUGCAUUGAGUCCACAGCGCGCCAGGGCUCGGGGCGAGGACCAGGAUUCAAUGGGGGUACCCCCCCAGCAGGACUGCACCAACCCCACGGGGACCCCCAGAGUGCGGUGUAGGUUCCGGCCAAAGAACCAACAGACGGCCGAGAAGACGGUGUAGUCUCCCAUGCCUAGGCGGUCUAGACGCACAGAGAAGCGUAGAUUAUGCAUAAGUAUAGAUAAAUGAUCCCUCGUGUAACCUCUAAUAAACUGGUUAAGAAAUUGCAAUUAGUGAGCACCUAUUGAGGCUGACAUGGCACAUGAGGAGGUGGUUGGCUAGCAACACGUCCGACUAUGCCUUUGUCUGCUCUAUGCUGAUAUUCAAUACACCACACCAGGUCCUCAUUUGAGGGUUAGUCUAUCUAGGAGACGCCCAGAACCAGUUCAGAUAUUCACCACUACACUUUUGGAAAGCAAAUUGGUUGUGCAAUUGAUGACCUGAGUAUGGAUGUGUCUUUAAUCAUUCCCCUAGUGGUGGAUCUCAUUACAAAUAAAAUGCUUCACCCUUUCCGGCAAUAAACACACGUGUUCAAAUGUUCAAACACCAAGUAAAAAAAAGGUUUGACCUUUUUUGGCAACUACACAUACUUCUGAUAUUCGUGGUUAAUGUGGACUUGAUGCCUUGUAAUCGGUGUCUAUUUGUUCUUUUAAUAUCUGUAUAUAUUGUCAGAAUGGGUAAAGCCUUUUUAAAAUAAUAUUUAUACUGGUAAAAUGGUCCAUUAAUAUUAUGAACAAGUUCACCACCUGUUCCACUGAGCGAACGCAGGUCACGUUUCUCAGUCAGCUGAAGUCUUUAAUCACUGCGGUUUCCUGUGAUAGGUUUGAAUACAAUUCUGUUACCAGAGCUCAAUAUAAAUACAUUCCUGCCAUACAG